This 380-nucleotide unclassified non-coding RNA is filed under the name uncultured Oligoflexales bacterium. Its description in RNAcentral is "contains 16S-23S intergenic spacer region". Lineage: Bacteria; Pseudomonadati; Bdellovibrionota; Oligoflexia; Oligoflexales. The record is from RNAcentral.
UCCGGCUUAACGCCGGCGGUCUCUCUAGAGUGCCCAACUGAAUGGUGGCAACUAAAGAUAGGGGUUGCGCUCGUUAAGGGACUUAACCCGACAUCUCACGAUACGAGCUGACGACAGCCAUGCAGCACCUGUCUCUCUGCCCCCGAAGGGGAAACCGUAUCUCUACGGCUGUCAGAGGAUGUCAAACCCAGGUAAGGUUCUUCGCGUUGCAUCGAAUUAAACCACAUGCUCCACCGCUUGUGCGGGCCCCCGUCAAUUCCUUUGAGUUUUAGUCUUGCGACCGUACUUCCCAGGCGGAGUACUUAAUGCGUUAGCGUCGGCACUGCUAGGCUCAAACACCUAUACAACGCCUAGUACUCAUCGUUUACGGCGUGGACUAC